RNAcentral lists this transfer RNA (70 nucleotides) under Smaug warreni. RNAcentral's name for it is "Ile-tRNA". Lineage: Eukaryota; Metazoa; Chordata; Lepidosauria; Squamata; Cordylidae. The record is from RNAcentral.
GAAACUGUGCCUGAAUUAAAGGACUACUUUGAUAGAGUAGAACAUAGGGACCCACAACCCCUCAGUUUCU